GUAAUGGACAUGGCACCAAUUAUGGACAUUUUUUUCGUUGAUCGAAUUUAUUAAGCAACUGUCGCAACAUUUUGAACUGGCAACACUAAAAUCACAAUCAAUAGACGUUUGGGCUAUCAUUUUGACACACGUCACCAAAAUCGGCCACUUUGUUUUAAGAUAGCUGCGAAGUGAAAUCUCGUUGCGCGCGGUGGUCAUGAAAAUCCGUUUUUACUAUUGAAAUCGUUAAGGAAAUGGCACCAAAACAAAAUUACACCCCCAAACAAAUGGGGAGAGCAUUGGAUGCUGUAAAUGCUGGGGGAAAAGAUAAGCACGGCUGCCCUCCGGUUUGAUGUUCCUCGAAUAACCUGGGUUACCUCCGCCAUAUCGAAUAACAAAUGAUCGAAAGUAAAAAUAUCAAACACGUUUCAUCGAAAACUCAAAACACCGAACGAUUAAAAUAUAGAAUUUACAAAAUGAUCGAAAUAAUCUUCAAAAGAUCUAACGAUUAAACUAUCGAAAAUCGAUCUUAUUGCAUAGUUUAAUAGGAAGAUGGAGGUAAGGGUUCCUUGUUGACUAUGGUACCCUAGAAAUUAAAAAAAAAGUUUUAUUUAUAUUCAUCAUAAUUAUGACAUUUAGUUUAAACUUCUUUAUUGAUUUUCGAUAUUUUAAUCAUUCGAUAUUUUGAACAUUUGAUCAUUUGUAAAUUCGAUAUUUUGAUCGUUCGAAGUCGAGGGAUGACGUUACCGAAGAAGGCAUUCGCAAAUGGUUCGAUGAAAUAACGAGAUACAUAGAAGUUAUAGGUUUAAAAGAUGUUUUAGAUGAACCCAGUCGGACAUUUAAUACCGACGGAAGCGCAUUUUGUCACCAGAUGGUUGAUUGAAAGUCUGAUACUUGAAAAUCGAAGACUGAUCAUGUUGAAAGUUCAAAUAGCAAUAAUAAAAGUUGAUUUGUGA
This is a long non-coding RNA of Ostrinia nubilalis (European corn borer), 935 nucleotides long. RefSeq lists it as uncharacterized. NCBI's taxonomy places the organism in Eukaryota, Metazoa, Arthropoda, Insecta, Lepidoptera, Crambidae. The transcript has 2 exons. The record is from RefSeq and is a predicted model, not a curated record.